Molecule: long non-coding RNA, 1981 nt
Filed under: Zonotrichia albicollis (white-throated sparrow)
Lineage: Eukaryota; Metazoa; Chordata; Aves; Passeriformes; Passerellidae
Description: lncRNA (ENSZALG00000004397.1)
Source: RNAcentral
CGCUGGGUCCCCGGGGGAAGGAGAGCACAGCCCUUCAUUAGCUGUAAUGAGUGUCUGUCUGUCUUGGGCUAGGGCCAUGGGCUGAGCAGCCCGACCUGACCUAGAAAAACCCCUUAAUGCGGCCUUGGUUCUGCAAGGGGCAAGGCUCUUAUCUAAUCACCAGCCCCAUCCUUCAGCAGCACAGCCGCUGCAGCCCUGUUAACUCAAUUAGGAAAUCACCACGCCGAGCUAUUUACAGGCUGGGUGUAAUGGCUGUGGCGACAGGAGACAAUAACAGGGAAACAAAGGGCACAAAGGGCUGUGAUGGGAUAACCGGCAUCCCCUGCACCCCCAGGCCGUGGCCAAGCUCUGCUGCUCCAUGGGGCUCUCUCCUCCCCACCGAGGGUCUCUUUCUUUGCCAUCUCUUAGCCUCAGAGAAACUCUCACAUUUCCAAAGCAUUUCAGCUGGAGAGGGGGCGUGGUGGGGUUUUUUUUUUCCCGUUUUUAAAAAAUUUUUUUCUUUCCCCAAGAACCUUAUUUUAAGUCUUUCCUCCCCCUCUGCCCUGCUCCAGGUCUGCUUUGCCUUGUGUUGUCCACUGGAGAUGUCAGAGCUACCCCCGGGGGGAUGGAGCCCAGGUGCUGUGCUGGACAUCCCUGGAGGUUCCUCAGGGAACGGGGUCAGCCCCUGGAAGGUUUGGGAAGCUGCUCUUUUAGUGCUCCCAGGACCUUUCCUUCCCACCUGCAAGAGAGAAACGCGGGCAAAGCAGGGUCACCAGAGCCCUGGCGACAGGAGUGCCACAGAGACAGGAAGCAGCUCUGGAGCUGGCAUGGAUCACCAGAAGUUCUCCCACCUGUUCCCAGCAUUAACCUUGCAGCUCCAGCUCAGCUGGAGUGAGAUCCCAGCCCCCUGCCUGGCUGGGAGUGUCCUGAGCAGAGCCACUCAGCAGCUCUGGAGGGUCCCUCUGGCAUCUCGGAGCUCAGGGCUCCUCAUUAAUCAGCCAUCACACAGGGAAAUUCCAGUGUCUUCCAGCAGGCUUUUUCCUCUGGAUGAGGAAGCAGCUGCCUCUUAAUUAGAGGCCAGCUAAGUGCUACGUGUGCUCUGCCAGGCUGUGCAUAUUUAAUAGCUCAGCUCCCAGCUGCUGCUGUGCUGGAGGAAGCUGCAAAGUCCCCUUUGAUGUUUCCUCACGCCGGCUGUCCUUGGAAACUGGGGGAGCAGAGCCACCCAGACACCCCAAAAUCCACGGGGGCAGGGAGGGACAGGGAUGGGCCUCCUUGGCUGCACUGAUCUGGAUGAUUUACCCAGGAUGGGACAGGGGCAGGACUGGCCUGGAGAGGGGCAGUGGGACCUGCUGCUGCCCUGUCCUACCCAAACACAUCCAGUCUGGGCCCUGUGUGAGAGUCUGUGCGAAAUAUCCCUCAUCUGCCUCACGAUCAUCACUGGGGAGACCACCAAAGAAACAAGACACUUCCUGUCUCCUGAUCUUGUAGGGGAAAGUCAUAUGCCUGAGACCUGAGAGCACAGUGCUAAGCUAUUGUUUUCACAGGUGUUGUUUGCUGUAUGCUAAGAAGGGGGCACCGUGCACUUUUUGCAACAACAGCCUUGGGAGCUGUCCCACCUCUUGGCCUGGCUGGACUUCUCCUGAGUUUUGGGUGGUCUCCCACAAAAGACCCUCACCUGUUUUACAACCACUGUGACAGACAGACUGAGAUGCAAGAAGCCUCUCCAUCAAGGACCGAGACAUGGAACCCCCAUGUGAAAAGGCCCCUCUGCUCCUCCCAAGGACUGGGACUGAGACCCCCAGCCUGGGGCAGGUGUGUGGGGGAGGCAAGCUGACCAAAGCGAGAUGUUUGCCUGCAGGUUGUGACCGCUGGACCAAGAAAACAAUGGCUCUCAUUUACUCUUGAGAACGUGGACUACCUGUUACAUCUGUUCCUUAUUGUAUCUGUUUCCCCCCUCACAAUUUUCAACAGAGUUAUCAUAAUAAAAACCUCUGAGUUAGCA